RNAcentral lists this non-coding RNA (56 nucleotides) under unclassified sequences. RNAcentral describes it as "chromate-resist RNA". It matches the Rfam family "chrB-b RNA". The record is from RNAcentral.
UCGGGACUCACAGCCUCCCGGUCUUUUCAGAUAGACGGUGUCCCGUCCAAGCGCUG